RNAcentral lists this ribosomal RNA (469 nucleotides) under Acanthamoeba genotype T4. RNAcentral describes it as "SSU rRNA". It matches the Rfam family "Eukaryotic small subunit ribosomal RNA", at positions 738 to 1095 of the family's 1831-position model. The record is from RNAcentral. Lineage: Eukaryota; Discosea; Longamoebia; Acanthamoebidae.
UGGCCCCAGAUCGUUUACCGUGAAAAAAUUAGAGUGUUCAAAGCAGGCAGAUCCAAUUUUCUGCCACCGAAUACAUUAGCAUGGGAUAAUGGAAUAGGACCCUGUCCUCCUAUUUUCAGUUGGUUUUGGCAGCGCGAGGACUAGGGUAAUGAUUAAUAGGGAUAGUUGGGGGCAUUAAUAUUUAAUUGUCAGAGGUGAAAUUCUUGGAUUUAUGAAAGAUUAACUUCUGCGAAAGCAUCUGCCAAGGAUGUUUUCAUUAAUCAAGAACGAAAGUUAGGGGAUCGAAGACGAUCAGAUACCGUCGUAGUCUUAACCAUAAACGAUGCCGACCAGCGAUUAGGAGACGUUGAAUACAAAACACCACCAUCGGUGCGGUCGUCCUUGGCGUCUCGGUCCUUCACGGGGCCGGGGCGCGGGGGCGGCUUAGCCCGGUGGCACCGGUGAAUGACUCCCCUAGCAGCUUGUGAGA